Molecule: long non-coding RNA, 2921 nt
Organism: Anas platyrhynchos (mallard)
Lineage: Eukaryota; Metazoa; Chordata; Aves; Anseriformes; Anatidae
Source: RefSeq, a predicted model, not a curated record
UUAGUGGCUCAGCUGAUGUUCAUUCACAUCCACUGAGCUGCAGAUAGCAGUUGUAUGGCUGCACUGCAUUCUGGAGCUGGAAACCAAUCCGAAUUUUUAAAAAUAGUGAUUUAAACUAGUAAUAAUGUGCUGAGUAUGGCUCUGGUUUGGUGUCUGAAGCCUGUAGGGGCUGGGGUGGGAAGGGAAGGCUCCUCCAGCAGCAGUCCUCAGCCUGGAGGUGCUGCUGCUGGGUGUACUGGGAGCAGCACAGGCUGAACUGGGAGCGAGGGGAGGUGGCUGGCUGGCAGCCUCGGCCACACCAGGGGCCUGGGACAUGGCUGGGACUGAAAGUGUAGGUGGGAAGGAGGCUGCUCUCCUGCCUUCUGCCCCAGUAGAAAACCCCGUGUUGGCUCUUACAAAGAAAUGUGCCAGGAUUCAUGGUGAAGUCAGGCAAAGCCCUCAGAUGUGUUCUAGAGAUCCAACCAGGUUGGAUGCUCGAGCUGUAGAUCUUACAAGAUGAAUGAUGGAAGCGUGGAACUUGGUGAUGUGACAGGGAAGUUCUCCAGACAGGAGCUCGGAGCCUGGUUAGCAAGUCGCUGAGUCCAGAAAGUGAAACUGAACUACCCAAAAAUGCUCUUUCACUUUUGUAGAAACUCACUGAAAAGGAGGAAAAAAAAAAAAAAAAGGUUCUGAAUGAGCAGACGUUAAACUGGGCUUGGAUUUGGGAUGAAUAACCUGCGGUAGGGCUUAAUUCCAGUCCAAAGCAUGCUGAUGGGAUGGGUCUGAGCGCUGAUACUCUGAAAUACUGAAGAUUGUUCAAGUCAUGGUCAGAAAGAACCCAUCUCUCGUGUAAGAUCAGCUCAGGCACUGUGAAUAUUACAGAACCGCGCGUUGAGCAGCUUAUUGAGCCCUUGUGCAGGGAGCGCUGGCUGAUGCGUGCAUUUUUUCCAAAUACCAGUAUUUUAAUGUCUGUUUGGAAGAGAAAAAUUUGACUGAAAAGCUCAAUUAGUAGUUGAAAGAACUUGGUUUUUUAUUUUUUCAGCCUUUUGAUGUUUGGAUGAAUGUGAGAGUGAGAUUUCUGAUUCAGGACGCUUGGAGGGGCGGGGGCAGGCUGGGGCCUGCUGCCCCUCCCAGCAGAGCUGCUGCCCUGUUGCUUUGCUCCGUGGCUGCAUGCACCAGUCAGGCACUUGCCAGGAUGCCAAACUGGCAAAACUGGGGGUGGGUGUUGGGGAUUUUUGUUUGGUUUUGUUGUUUUUCAGUAACUCCCUGCAGAGUAAUGGCAGAGAGGGUGCCAAGCUUUGGUUGGGGUGGGUGAGCAAGGGCUGUGGCACCCCCACAAUGGGUCGGCACGGCUUGCUGGGAUUCCCAGGCAUCAGAGGGUUCGAGGUGGGCUUCUUGCUGCUGGAGGGGAGGAAAAACACCAAGCCGUGGGGUUGACACAGCUUCUCCUUGGUCAGCACCCUCAUCUCGGGCACUUCUGACCGCUCGCGGGUGCUCAAAAGCACAGCCCUGGUUGUUACUGCUCCUGGGCAGGCAGCUGCUGUUCCUCACACCAGCGUUUGUUGGUUCCUCCAACAAACUCCGAGCAUUUCUUGCCCCUCAGGGAGGUGGUUCAGCCUGCAGACCCACAACAAACAACUUCAGCUUCCCUCUGCAGCCUGAAUUCGUGGGGCUAACAACUGGAGUCGGCUUCCUGAGGGGUCAGCCCAAGCCGGGGAGAAGCAGCAGCGUGCUGUGCUGGGGGGGAGCGUAAUGUCUGGAAACAUUUCUGCUACCCAAACGCUCCUCGCCGUGGCGUUGAGCACGCCUCUCGGGAGUGGCCACGGAGCCGUCCUCAGGAAGUGUUUCAGCUCCCCAGCACUUGGUGUGCUCGCUGCUGCCUUCCCUCCGCUUCUCCUACAAGCCAUUGAAGAGAAAACGAUAUCAACUCUGUAUUAAUGUUUCUCUGCUAAUCCAGUCAGGUCCCAAACGGUGCACGGGAAUGGUUGCUUGUGGUGCUCGGCGCGUGGCCGGGUCUGCUUUCAGCUGCAGCGGGGUGCCAUCGCUCUGUAGGCUCCCCGUUGGUCCGAGUAAGAAAUUUUGGGGUCGUGCAACAAGUUGAGGCUGCACCUUGUAAUGGGUGUGAAGAACAAAUGAAGACACCUCGCUGGAGUUGUGUGCUUUGGGUAAGGCAGCUGGGUUCUGAGCAGCUGUUGGGACCGUGCUCCGUGCUACGCCUCGAGAAGGAAAUCCUCCUGGUGCAGCCCCUGCUUCUGUUAGAGGUGCCGUUGAAAUAUUUUUGUUGAAGAGUUUUUGCUACUAUCUACGGGAUUGAAGGUGUCUCCAGGCAAAGGCUACUUCAGCAAGGCUGCAGUUGGCUUCCCCUCAAGCAUGCCGCUGCAGAUCUGGGGAGACAAACCAGGUGCCUGAAAGGCCCGGGUUGAUGAUCCCAGUGAAACCCUGGGCACCACCUGCUGCCCCUUCCCAGCCUUCUGGUGGAGAGAUUUAGGUUAUACAGGGUGAAAGUAAGGUGCAUUAAAGGCAACCCAUGGCUCUUGCCAGUUGGGUGCCGUGAAACUGAUCAGGCAGUGCCUGCAGGGCAAAAUUUAGACUCAGCUUGUUGUUUUUUUGUUUUUUUUUUUAAAUCAAAUACUAAUGAACAGAAAAACUAUAUCCAUUGUCCAGCUGGUCUGGUGUGAGAAGUCGUCACUAGAAACCGAAAUGGAAUCAGGACGGGGAAGGGAAGGGCCAAGCGGUGCUGGUGUGGAGGCCCAGAUGGACACAUCUGAAACAUUCAUCGCCUGUUCUGCAAACAGGAAUUCUGGCAUGAAGCAACCAAAUUAAAAAAUAAAUUCAUCGUGUUGAUAAAGGCUUCUGUUUCAUGUGCAGAAGGGCUUGAAUGUCAUAGUUUCGGCUGUAGACGUGUUCACAUACAUGUGAACACAUUAAAUGAGGGACGACAG